RNAcentral lists this ribosomal RNA (253 nucleotides) under uncultured bacterium. RNAcentral's name for it is "partial 16S ribosomal RNA". It matches the Rfam family "Bacterial small subunit ribosomal RNA", at positions 524 to 776 of the family's 1533-position model. The record is from RNAcentral.
UACAGAGGGUGCAAGCGUUAAUCGGAAUUACUGGGCGUAAAGCGCACGUAGGCGGCGAUUCAAGUCAGAGGUGAAAGCCCGGGGCUCAACCCCGGAACUGCCUUUGAAACUAGAUUGCUAGAAUCCUGGAGAGGUGAGUGGAAUUCCGAGUGUAGAGGUGAAAUUCGUAGAUAUUCGGAAGAACACCAGUGGCGAAGGCGACUCACUGGACAGGUAUUGACGCUGAGGUGCGAAAGCGUGGGGAGCAAACAGG